GGAAUUUUCGUCAAUGGGGGAAACCCUGAACGAGCAACGCCGCGUGGAGGAUGACGGUCUUCGGAUUGUAAACUCCUUUUGUGAGGGACGAUAAUGACGGUACCUCGCGAAUAAGCCCCGGCUAACUCUGUGCCAGCAGCCGCGGUAAUACAGAGGGGGCAAGCGUUGUCCGGAGUUACUGGGCGUAAAGCGCACGUAGGCGGUCCUGCAAGUGGUGUGUGAAACCAAUCAGCUUAACUGAUUGACGCCAUGCCAAACUGCGAGACUCGAGUCAUGGAGAGGUAGUUCGAAUUGCUGGUGUAGUGGUGAAAUGCGUAGAUAUCAGCAGGAAGACCAAGGGAGAAAUCAGACUACUGGCCAUGAACUGACGCUCAGGUGCGAAAGCGUGGGGAGCGAACUGGAUUAGAUACCCAGGUAGUCCACGCCGUAAACGAUGUAUGCUCGGUAUUUGGGCCUGUUAAGGGCUUGGGUACCUAAGGUAACCCGGUAAGCAUACCGCCUGGGAAGUACGAACGCAAGUUUAAAACUCAAAUGAAUUGACGG
Molecule: ribosomal RNA, 543 nt
Filed under: uncultured bacterium
Lineage: Bacteria
Description: bacterial SSU rRNA
Rfam family: Bacterial small subunit ribosomal RNA
Source: RNAcentral